UGUUACGAAUCUGCUUGCGAGUUUGGGAAUUUAGGAUUAGAGGAGCAGAUUCGAACAGAGAGAAAGGGGUAGGAGGAAGGGGAAGAACAGAAGAGAGAACUUGGAGCAGGGGAAGAUGCAGUAGUUAGGGAGGAAUAGUUUUCUGUUCACUUGUUCGAUGCCUUUUCCCCUCUGCUCACUCGUGCUUAUAUACUCGCACGUUUACAUUCUGGACCUAAGCCCAUUCCGGCCCAGUUACUCUCACAUUAGGCCUGCGUACUCUUGCUGGUCGCGUCUUCAUUGGAUUACUUGCCGUGAGUAAUGUCGGACCUGGUACAGUACCGGUGACAUUCCCCUCUUCUUCAGAAACGGCUUGUCCCCAAGCCGGUGCUUCAGGGAAACGCGCACGCAGUGCAGCACCAUCCUCCCAGGUUGCUUCAGCGGACGUCUGACCAGACCAACGAAUCUUGAGUUGUUCCACAGCUCCAGCGCCUUUCUUGACUGCACGACGAGCAAGAAUUUGAACUGGUAGCGCUUCAUCUUCAGUUAACGCUGGCAGGUCUUGAAUCGACGAGUCAGGAGCUGGUGAAGAAGCCUGACAGAGCUGUGAGACAUGUACUACUGGAUGAAUAGCACAAGUUGUCGGUAGUUGCAGGCGAUAAGCCACGCUUCCAAUGCGCGCCAAGAUCUGAAAGGGACCAAAAUAACGGAAAGCCAAUUUGUGAUUAGAACGUCCUGUCAAGGAGAACUGAGCAUGCGGCUGUGCCUUCAGGAACACCCAGUCACCAACUUCAAACUCACGAUCAGAACGUUUCUUGUCAGCCUGGAACUUCAUACGUUGCUGAGCUCGUAACAGAUGUUGUCGCAGCAAACUGGUAAUCACUUCCCGUUCCUUCAGCCAGUCUUGCAAAUCUGGAACAGCACACUCAAAGCGAUCGAGCACACCAAAAUGCCGAGGAGAAUGACCAUAUAAUACCUCAAAUGGUGAUUUGUCCAGAGCCGAAUGGAAGGCAGUAUUGUACCAGAAUUCCGCCAAAGCGAGCCAACGAUACCACCUCUUAGGGCAAGCGUGCACAAAGCAUCUCAAAAAGGUUUCCAAGCACUGAUUUACCCAUUCGGUUUGGCCGUCCGUUUGAGGAUGGACUGUUUGCCAAGCAUGCUUGGGCACUGGAAGAGGCUGUAAGAAACCUGGGUACCGAACCCGUUCUGCUUUGGCCUGUUUACAGAUGGAACAAGCCGACACAAACUGGCGCACAGCUUUUCUGAGUCCAGGCCAAGCAAAUAACUUAUUCACUCGACUGAAGGUUGCCUGAGUACCAGAAUGACCCCCAAUUGCUGCAUUGUGCAGUGCAGUCAGAACCUUAGUCUGUAACUCCACAUUGUUACCCAACCAAAUCCUUCCCUUAUGGUAGAUAAUGCCAUUCUGUAAUCUGUACUCAGGGAGCGCCUCUGGACUUAACGAGAGCUUAGUCAACAGUUGAGAGGAAACUUGAUCCUGAGCAUAUCCCAGCUGCACAUCUGCCAACCAAACUGGAAUACAGGAAGACACCGCACUGAGUUGAAACACAUCGGUUGACUGAUUGCGUGACAAAGCAUCGGCGGCUUUAUUUUCCAGUCCCUUCUUAUAGACAAUUCUUCUUAUAGACAAUUCUGUAUUGUAAACCAAGCAGUUUGGUCAGAGCACGCUGUUGCCAAGGUGUUACUAAUCUUUGAUCAUCCAAAUGAAUCAAACUGCGCUGGUCAGUACGGAUUAUAAACUCUCCAAACUGCAAGUAAGAGCGCCAUUGUUCCACAGCGAGAAGAAUCGCCAAGCACUCCUUCUCGUAAGUGGACAGCCCUUGAUUUCGAGGCCCCAAAGAUUUACUGAGAAAGGCUAACGGAUGACCAGCUUGCAUCAGCACAGCGCCAACACCCUUAUCACACGCAUCAGUCUCAAUUUCAAAAACUUUGGAGAAAUCCGGUAGUGCUAGGACAGGAGCCGAAACUAGAGCUUCCUUCAAGGCAUCAAAAGACGCUUGAUGCUCCGACGUCCAAACAAACACCACAUUCUUCUUGAGCAGAUCAGUAAGGGGCCUGCUGAUAAUACCAAAAGAGCGUACAAACUUCCGAUAGUACCCCGCAAGACCCAAAAAUCCUCGCACUUCCUUCACAUUACAGGGUACUGCCCAGUUGCGCACCGCUUGAAUAUUCUUUGAGUCAGUGGCCACACCUUCUGCACUAAUAACAUGCCCAAGAUAUGUUAGACUUGCACGGGCGAACGAGCAUUUGCUUCUCUUGACCUUAAGUUGAUGAUCAGUUAGCAAUUGAAACACCCGUCGCAGCAAGGCUACAUGGUCGUCCAAAUUUUGACUAUAGAUUAAGAUGUCAUCUAUAAACACCAACACUCCUUUGCGAAGCAAUGGAGCUAAGAUCUGAUUCAUCAAUCCUUGGAAGGUAGCCGGGGCUCCGGUAAGGCCGUAGGACAUAACCCUGAAUUCGUAGUGUCCAUUGUGCGUCUUAAACGCUGUUUUGUGCUCAUCUUCUGGGCGCAUCCGGAUCUGAUGAUAGCCAGCUCUUAAAUCCAAACUCGUGAAUAAACAGGAGCCCGCCAAUUCAUCAAGCAACUCAUCGAUAAUUGGCAAAGGGUAGCGAUUCUUGACUGUAAUUGCAUUAAGGUGGCGGUAGUCAAUACAGAAUCGCCAAGUAAGGUCCUUCUUAAGCACCAGCAGAACAGGUGAUGAAAAAGGACUAGAGCUGGGUUGUAUGAUUCCCUGUUGGAGCAUAUCCGCAACUUGCCGUUCAAUCUCAUCUUUUUGAGCUGGAUUAUAUCGAUAAGGUCGCAAGUUAACAGGUUUUGCUCCUGGCAGUAAAGGAAUUGAAUGGUCAAAGACCCUGGCCGGUGGUAAACCUUGUGGCUCAUCAAAGACAUGAACAAAUUCUUUCAACAACUGGUCGACAGCCUGAGGUACUUCUGUAUUUGUUGUUUCCUUGAUCAGAGAACACAACUCAACCACUUGCAUCACAGCUUCCCGAUGAAUCAGUCCUUGAACUUGAUUGACAGAUAGAGAUGUACAGCUGCUAAUAUCAGCUCUAACACCUCGCAAACAAACAUCCUUUUGUGCAUGUUUAAAUCUCAGAGUCUUAGCCCUCCAAUCAAUUUGCAUAGGACUGUGUUGCUCAAGCCAAUCCAUUCCAAGUAUUACGUCAUAACUUCCAAGAGGUAACACUUUCAGGUUGUUCUGAAAAGAAACACCCUGAACCAGCCAAAGACAAUUCUGCAUUUCUUUGUUACAUUGGAGUAUUCCCCCAUCAGCAACCCGAACUCGAAAAGAUUGCACAGUUUUCUGAUUGCCUCUUAUCUUGCCUGCCAUUUCUUCAGAUAUAAAGCUAUGAGUGCUGCCAGAGUCUACAAGCAUCAUUAUCUCAUACUGUUGUAUUAAUCCUUGCAGCCUCAAAGUUCCAGAAGAUUCAGUCCCUAGCAUAGCUUCUUUAGAAAUCUGACAGACUUCGCUAACAGUUUCAGAAGCCCUUUCUGUCAGCUCAUCAGUUCCAGCGGAUUUGGUUUCCCCAUCCGAUUCCUCAAGCAGGUCGAGUAACUCCUCCACAACAUGUAACUGCACAGUUGGCCCACACUUAUGUUCCCUACUCCAUUUUUCCCCACAAGUGUGACACAAUCCCUUAGCCUUGCGAUAAGCACAUAGUGCUGCCACUCGAUCCUCCAGAGGCUGAGUUCUGUCAUCAACUCGCCCACCAGCUCGCCCAGGAGUGAAAGCAACAUUCCCCACAGUACGCUGUCCGACCCGAUGAGAAAAACCUCCAUCAAUCCGACGCGAAUCCCGUCGUCCCGCUUCCAACACCUCUUCCUGUAAACAAGCAAGGUCCACAGCAGUAUCCAAAUCGUUUGGACGAUGUAAAAUUACGGCUGCGCGAACUUCAGGUUUCAGUCCAUCAAGGAAUUCAGUAAUGAAGAAUACUGAAUUCCAGGAUGGAUGAUGAGCAUAGAGUUGAUGCAUCAGCUCAUUGAAUUUUUCUGCAUAACUAAGAACGGUUCCCUCCUGCCUAAGCCUCUUGAACUGUCUAAUGAGACUCUGAAAUUCCUCCCUCCCGAACUUAGCACAAACAGCCUCCGAGAAAUCAUUCCACCCCAUCAAUUCCACAUGAGCAUUGGUGGAUUGCAACCACACUAGAGCACUCCCCGAAAAUUGCAAAGCAGCAACCCCAACCCACACAUCCGGGCUAAUCCCACUUACUCGGAAAUAAGUUUCGCAUUUCAUUUUCCAGGCUCUAGGGUUCUCUCCUUCAAAUUGUGGGCAAUCUACUCUAGCAUUACCCCCAUGGAAUCCCUUGGCCGGGAGAGACGUUGGAGAGAAAUCAUCUCCAGACGCCUUCCCCCGAUUCAUCGUUGCAACGUUGCGGCCUCACGGCCCUGAACUCGCGUCCGCCCCUUUGGAGGCCGUCUCCUCCUCCUUCGGCACCGUCGGCGUGGGUAGAAGAGGGGGCAGAUCCGCUGGCUUGACGGCGAGAAUUGGAUUGCGGGAUAUCCGCUCCACUUGCUGGCGCAGGUCGCCGAGGUCGUCCCGCAUCUCCGUCAUGGCCUUGUCCACCGCCGGUUUCCAGCUCGCGAGCUCCACCACCAUAGGCUUGAUUUCCUCCAAGGAUCCCAUCGAAGCUUGGAUGGCGGUAUUCUGCUUCUGGAUUGUCGCCAUGGCCGCCGCGAGUUCCGCCAAUUGUUGCUCCAUCUCUUGGGACUUGAGUUGCGCACGGGAAUAGUAUCUAGGUUUGUCGAGGUACUCCAGGAUGGAUGGCUCUGAUACCUAUUGUUACGAAUCUGCUUGCGAGUUUGGGAAUUUAGGAUUAGAGGAGCAGAUUCGAACAGAGAGAAAGGGGUAGGAGGAAGGGGAAGAACAGAAGAGAGAACUUGGAGCAGGGGAAGAUGCAGUAGUUAGGGAGGAAUAGUUUUCUGUUCACUUGUUCGAUGCCUUUUCCCCUCUGCUCACUCGUGCUUAUAUACUCGCACGUUUACAUUCUGGACCUAAGCCCAUUCCGGCCCAGUUACUCUCACAUUAGGCCUGCGUACUCUUGCUGGUCGCGUCUUCAUUGGAUUACUUGCCGUGAGUAAUGUCGGACCUGGUACAGUACCGG
This 5100-nucleotide long non-coding RNA is filed under the name Oryza sativa (Asian cultivated rice). RNAcentral describes it as "long non-coding RNA (OSAT_LNC000397)". Lineage: Eukaryota; Viridiplantae; Streptophyta; Magnoliopsida; Poales; Poaceae. The record is from RNAcentral.